GAAAUGCGAUAAGUAAUGUGAAUUGCAGAAUUCAGUGAAUCAUCGAAUCUUUGAACGCACCUUGCGCUCCUUGGUAUUCCUUGGAGCAUGCCUGUUUGAGUAUCAUGAAAUCUUCAAAGUAAAUCUUUUGUUAACUCAAUUGGUUUCUACUUUGGUAUUGGAGGUCUUUGCAGCUUCACACCUGCUCCUCUUUGUUCAUUAGCUGGAUCUCAGUGUUAUGCUUGGUUCCACUCGGCGUGAUAAGUUAUCUAUCGCUGAGGACACUGUAAAAGGUGGCCAAGGUAAAUGCAGAUGAACCGCUUCUAAUAGUCCAUUGACUUGGACAAUACUUUUAUGAUCUGAUCACAAAUCAGGUAGGACUACCCGCUGAACUUAAGC
RNAcentral lists this unclassified non-coding RNA (378 nucleotides) under plant metagenome. Its description in RNAcentral is "partial contains 5.8S ribosomal RNA, internal transcribed spacer 2, and large subunit ribosomal RNA". The stretch from base 1 to 105 matches the Rfam family "5.8S ribosomal RNA", at positions 50 to 154 of the family's 154-position model. The record is from RNAcentral.